GAUGAAGAACGUAGCAAAAUGCGAUAGGUAAUGUGAAUUGCAGAAUUCAGUGAAUCAUCGAAUCUUUGAACGCACAUUGCGCCCGCUGGUAUUCCGGCGGGCAUGCCUGUUCGAGCGUCAUUUCAACCCUCAAGCCCCCGGGUUUGGUGUUGGGGAUCGGCUCUGCCCUUCUGGGCGGUGCCGCCCCCGAAAUACAUUGGCGGUCUCGCUGCAGCCUCCAUUGCGUAGUAGCUAACACCUCGCAACUGGAACGCGGCGCGGCCAUGCCGUAAAACCCCAACUUCUGAAUGUUGACCUCGGAUCAGGUAGGAAUACCCGCUGAACUUAAGCAUAUCAAUAAGCGGAGGA
Molecule: unclassified non-coding RNA, 348 nt
Filed under: soil metagenome
Description: partial contains 5.8S ribosomal RNA, internal transcribed spacer 2, and large subunit ribosomal RNA
Rfam family: 5.8S ribosomal RNA (bases 1-120)
Source: RNAcentral